CAGACGCAUAGAACUAGGCACAAAGCAACCAAACCAACACAGGUUUUUUAUUCUUCAAUCUUUUUUUUUUUAUAUGAGAGAAAUUUAAUUUUGUUCGCAUAAGAGCAGACAUACAGCCUGGAUGUGCACAUUGGCUUCUAACUCAGCAGCGUUUUCAGCUGAGCAGCUACUGCUCGGAGCCUGAGAUCCAAAUUGCCUCUGAUGAAGAACAACUGGUUUCCCACCUUGUUUACUAAUAGUUUUUUAUACCACGGUGAUAUACCUGCAAGAAUAGGACAAAGGAGGCGGCACUUCUCACUAUCUGACUGGGGCCUUUGCAACCACUUCACUGCUGAAGCUUUCUAAAUGAGCCAAGGGUCACAUAUAAUAUUGGCGUUAUAGAUCGAUUGUAAGAAACUGCAGCAAUUAGAGCAAAGCUCAAACAAGAAACCAGACUCGCUGACCUAAAUCAAUCCCAGUCCUUCUGGAUACAGGGCAGUCGACUAGCAUUGACACAACCAGCCAUCAAGUGGAGAGUCUCUGGGAUUGCAAUCUGUGUCAGUUGGAGCCUGUGAGAAUGAAACACUCCACUUUCGUUUAUCCACUUGCUUCUUUUUUUACCCCUUCUUUCCCUGUAAGCAGCUAUUAAUUGUGCUUGGUUUCUAAGUGUAUAUUUGUGUGGAUUAGUCUGUCUGUAGUGCAGUCCUUAUCUGCUCUAGCUGGAAAUCAGGGCACUAAGUCAGCCUGCUUUAACAGUUGUUUCUUUCUGCGUGAUGCUAUGCAGCUAGAAUGGGUUACACUGACAACAAAGGAGGAAGCACAAAGCAUCACUUUAUCUUCUGGGCUCUUACAGGAACAUAACUCUUUUUUCCUGAUAUGCCGCCCUCUUUUUCUUUUCUGCUUUUUUUUUUUUUAAAUUCAUCUAAUCGAAGAGCCUAACAGACAAUCAUCAUGGAUGUGGUUUUUAAUGAUUUGGAAAAGACAGCCUGUGGAGACUGUGAUUUGAGACAGCAACACAUUUAGGUUAUUGCCAAUUUGAAAUACUUGGUUUGUGAAGCAGAGCCCUAAGGGACAAGCUCAGUAACUAAGAGAAAGAUCGUAGAUAAAGAAAUAAAAAUGACAAGCGUAAUGGAGGUUCUGCAAAAGAGAAUGUCAGAGAAUCAGUUCAUGGAUGGCAAUUUCACCAGUCUGAAACUGAAUAAUUCAUAGAAUGAAAUUACCCUGCUUUCACCUUUCCAUUUAAACCGGCAUGAUCUGAAUCUCUAAUAAAUCUUCAAGAUAAAGUAAAACGCCAAUUUGAAUCUAAAGAGCUUUUAAAACCAGAUGCUACAUUCUGAAUCUUUCGAUACCUUUCACAAUUUUCCUGUGAGAACCGCACUUCAUCACGAAGCACCAUUACCAGUGAAAAUUACUGUGAUUACAAUAGCAACAAUAGAAUAUCAUCAAAUGAUACCUAAUUUUCCUAAUUUACUAAGGCUGACAGUGUGGUUUUAAUGCCCAUCGUGUGUCAUCAUGUCUGGUACUGGAUCAGUAUCACAUUGGAACAAAAAUGUCUUAGUAUAUGCCUCAAUCUUUGCUACUUUUAACUUUGAAAACACAGGAAAAUCUAUAUACAGUGUUAAAAUUUGCAUUGUAAGCGUGUUUUAAGGAUUAAAUUUUUUGCCAAAUUUGGGACCAGAAAGAAAUUUCCACCUCAUCCCCAUAGCUUGGAUUGUGGUUGAUCCUUUCACUUCCUGUGGAUCAACAAAGAUGGGAUCAUUAGGGAAUAUGUCUUGAUUUGAGAGGCAUGGGCUAUUAUAAUACUAAGCAGGCUCUGAGUCUUCCAUGUGACAAUCCCUUCACUGAAAUUAGCUUCCUUGAUGAAGUGCUGGAGUCCUGCGGGGCUCAGCUGAAUAUUUCAGUGCUGGGAAUGUAGGCCCAGGGACUGGAAGCACUCGAUGGUGAGUUGUGUGAAGCGGAGGGCCUCGUCGAACGUGGAGGCCUUCAGGAAGCAAUCAUCAAGGUAAGGGAAUAUUAUGACUCCUUUUUUCCUGAGGUAGGCAGUGACUACCGCUAGGAGCUUGGAGAAAACUCGAGGGGCAGUGGAAAGGCCAAAUAGUAGAACUCUGUAUUGGAAAUGCGUUGAGCCGAGGGUAAAACGAAGAAAACGUCUGUGGGCUGGGUGGAUAGUGACGUGAAAGUAGG
Molecule: long non-coding RNA, 2163 nt
Organism: Chelonoidis abingdonii (Abingdon island giant tortoise)
Lineage: Eukaryota; Metazoa; Chordata; Testudines; Testudinidae
Source: RefSeq, a predicted model, not a curated record